UCGAGAAUUUUUCACAAUGGGGGCAACCCUGAUGGAGCGACGCCGCGUGGGGGAUGAAGGGCUUCGGCUCGUAAACCCCUGUCAUGGGCGAUCAAAUCAACCGUUUUAACAGAGCGGUUGCUGAUAGUAGCCUAAGAGGAAGGGACGGCUAACUCUGUGCCAGCAGCCGCGGUAAUACAGAGGUCCCAAGCGUUGUUCGGAUUUACUGGGCGUAAAGGGUGCGUAGGUGGCGAGACAAGUUCGGUGUGAAAUCUUCGGGCCUAACCCGAAAAAUGCACUGAAAACUGUCUUGCUCGAGGGUUGAAAAGGAGAUUGGAAUUCUCGGUGUAGCAGUGAAAUGCGUAGAUAUCGAGAGGAACACCAGUUGCGAAGGCGAAUCUCUGGGCAACACCUGACACUG
RNAcentral lists this ribosomal RNA (400 nucleotides) under uncultured bacterium. RNAcentral's name for it is "bacterial SSU rRNA". It matches the Rfam family "Bacterial small subunit ribosomal RNA", at positions 355 to 748 of the family's 1533-position model. The record is from RNAcentral.